AUUCUCUUAGUUUAAUGGUAGAACAUCAUUCUUCUAAAAUGUCAAUUUUGGUUCGAUUCCAAAAGAGAAUU
Fibroporia radiculosa TFFH 294 is the source of this 71-nucleotide transfer RNA. It matches the Rfam family "tRNA". From Rfam's summary of the family: Transfer RNA (tRNA) molecules are approximately 80 nucleotides in length. Their secondary structure includes four short double-helical elements and three loops (D, anti-codon, and T loops). The record is from Rfam. NCBI's taxonomy places the organism in Eukaryota, Fungi, Basidiomycota, Agaricomycetes, Polyporales, Fibroporiaceae.